This is a long non-coding RNA of Malaclemys terrapin pileata, 392 nucleotides long. RefSeq lists it as uncharacterized. The transcript has 4 exons. The record is from RefSeq and is a predicted model, not a curated record. Lineage: Eukaryota; Metazoa; Chordata; Testudines; Emydidae.
CACAAUUCAAAGGAGAGGCCAUAUAUUGGAGGGGGCAGAUCCUAGAGGACUCUGACCAAAUCCCCAAAAAUGCUUCAGAAUGGAAACCUAAUGGGAAAACUGUGCACUGUCAGUAACUUGGGGAUAUAUUUCUGAAUAAAAUGUACUGAUUGCAUUUAAGUCAAGCCGAAAUAGAAAGAGGUUAGAGGUCUCCUGGUAUUUGUGAAUGAAGUUUGGGAACCACACCCUAAGAGUCACAGUCUAGCCCUGUGACUAUGGGUGUUGUGGGACAACCUGUCGGCCCACUCUGGGGAUUGUGGGAGGAAAUUACCUAAACCCAGGGAAUUCAUUUUGUGGAAGGACUCAGACUAUGCUGUUACAUACUGAAGGUAUGGAUCCCGUUCACCCUAAUA